RNAcentral lists this ribosomal RNA (479 nucleotides) under uncultured bacterium. RNAcentral's name for it is "bacterial SSU rRNA". It matches the Rfam family "Bacterial small subunit ribosomal RNA", at positions 28 to 489 of the family's 1533-position model. The record is from RNAcentral.
GACGAACGCUGGCGGCGUGCCUAAUACAUGCAAGUCGAACGCUUUAUCUUUCACCGAGUGCUUGCACUCACCAAAAGAAGAAUAGUGGCGGACGGGUGAGUAACACGUGGGUAACCUGCCCACUAGAGGGGGAUAACCCUUGGAAACAGGUGCUAAUACCGCAUAAUUGUUUGAGUCGCAUGACUGGGACAUGAAAGAAGCUUUCGGGUGUCACUAAUGUAUGCACCCGCGCUGCAUUAGUUAGUUGGUGAGGUAAUGGCCCACCAAGACCACGAUGCAAAGACGACCAGAAAGGGUUAACGACCUCACUGUAAAUNAGACACUGACCAGCUCUUCGGGAGGCAGCAGAAAGAAUCUUUGGAAUGGACAAAAGUCUGACAGACAACGCCGCGGGACUGAAAAAAUUAUCAAUCCAAAAACCAGUUAUUAGANAAGACAAGGGGAGAGAAAAGAUACCGCCUUGCCAAUUUAACCAAAAA